This 142-nucleotide ribosomal RNA is filed under the name uncultured bacterium. RNAcentral's name for it is "partial 16S rRNA". It matches the Rfam family "Bacterial small subunit ribosomal RNA", at positions 355 to 511 of the family's 1533-position model. The record is from RNAcentral.
UGGGGAAUAUUGGACAAUGGGCGAAAGCCUGAUCCAGCAAUGCCGCGUGUGUGAAGAAGGGUUCUUCGGAUUAGUAAAGCACUUUCGACGGGGACGAUGAUGACGGUACCCGUAGAAGAAGCCCCGGCUAACUUCGUGCCAG